RNAcentral lists this non-coding RNA (158 nucleotides) under Rhodospirillum rubrum. RNAcentral describes it as "FMN sequence". It matches the Rfam family "FMN riboswitch aptamer (RFN element)". From Rfam's summary of the family: The RFN element is a highly conserved domain that is found frequently in the 5'-untranslated regions of prokaryotic mRNAs that encode for flavin mononucleotide (FMN) biosynthesis and transport proteins. The record is from RNAcentral. Lineage: Bacteria; Pseudomonadati; Pseudomonadota; Alphaproteobacteria; Rhodospirillales; Rhodospirillaceae. RNAcentral also lists the same sequence under 1 other name.
GCUUGUUCUCAGGGCAGGGUGAAACUCCCGACCGGCGGUAAUCCUUCCCUUUCACGGGGGGGACAGCCCGCGAGCGCCCUUUGCCGGUGGUGAAGGGGUCCAGCAGAUCCGGUGCGAAGCCGGAGCCGACGGUAUAGUCCGGAUGGAAGAGAACGAGG